GGCAGAUAGUGGAGGGGAUGCAGUCCCAGAAAUAGCUGUGCCAACCAAGUGUGAGUUAAUUUUUUGUUAAGAUCAUUCAUUCAUUGUUGAAUUUUGUCCGAUUACAUCAUUAACUUAUGAUUUAUUCAUCUGCAGUCAAUCAUUUUGAGCUCAAAUAGUCGGAGUUGGCCAUUGUUAAGGCCAUCUACCAGUUUCCCUCAAGAUGAAGUACUUCAAAAACGUGCUUGGUAAGCAAACCCUUUUUGUGACACACUUAUUAAUGGUGACAAAGGGUAAGUGUUUACAUCUCGCCAUCCCUUGUUGAAGUGAUGCUUAGAUUUAUUUUUUUUACCGUGUUAGUGGCUUACCUUUUCAUUUGCAGAUCGACAAACUAACAAGGAAUAUGUCAAGCCGGACAUGUUCUUCAUAAGAUGCCUAGGAAAGGCCAAACAAAAGAAGCCACAAAGCUCCAGCUCUUCACAUAUAAAAAUCAGAGUUACGAGCUGUCUCACCUUUUGAAGAUGAACCCAUCAUUUCUCCCAAAGAAAAAAAGAGACAAGAAGGGAAAGAAAAAGGUUGAGUCUGUGGGAAGGACCCAGAAGAGAAAGCUGACCUUAACAAAGAAUAUUGAGCCUACUAUAACCACAAGUGCCAAACAACGAUUGACGAAUCACUAAAGACGCCUAUUGAGGCAGACCUUAUUGCCUCCAUAAAGAUAAUAAAGGUGGAAAAGAAAGAGGGUAAGGAGGCCAGCAGAAGUGAUCCUUCUAAAGGAAAGCCCAAAAUUUCUUAGGAGGCAGUUUUGGAGGUACUCCCUACCAUGGUCCAGGUGGCUAUGAGAGUUCAUUAUAAGUAUUGGACUGAUAAAUAUUCAUCUUAUGCUGAAACAUAUUAUUAAGUUGACAUAUUGAAAACUGGCUUCGCCCUAUAAGCUUUUUCUUAAAUGCCCAAAAGGAUAUAAAGAGACUGUAGAAGCUAAAUAAAUUUUUUUGUCAGAAAGCAGCUGUUGUGGAGGCUGAGGCCUAAGGCCUCUACUAUUGAUGAGGUCAUUGGGGAACCAUCAAGAUGAGACACAUUAAAGCAGAGUCAUGGAUUAGGCUCCUCAUUAUUGAAAAUGGUGAAGUGAAGAAAUAACUCCACAUUUACAAAGAUUGGAUGAAUGCCAUGAUGAAGAGGGACGAGAAUUCUGAAAACUUGCAAAAGAUAGCUUCAUUGGCCUUGGAGGUGGCCAAUAAACAGAAUGGGAAGCAAAUGCUCAAGUGGAUGAGCUGACUCUGAGGUUGCCUAUCUGAGACAAUAGCUGAGUGGGACAAGGGAGAAAGACAUGAACAACAAUGUGGCACACUUCCACGAAACGAUUAAGUCUAACGGCCUCAUUUUUACUGGAAAAAGGUCGCUUAUAAUAAAGCUUUGGAAUGAUGGCUGAGCUGUCUACUUAAGUGGAUUUAGCCUAUGUGAAGGAGAUGUUACUCUCAGUAGAGUAGUCUACUUCUACAGAUGAUGUUGAAAGUUCUAAUGGCAGAGAGAGCCAAACGGAGCCUCAACAGGAUGAAGCUGGUCCAUAGACAUUGGCUUUUAAUUUGUCUUGUUCAUUAUGUAGUUUCCUUUUGUAAUCAGUUAG
RNAcentral lists this long non-coding RNA (1600 nucleotides) under Olea europaea subsp. europaea. The record is from RNAcentral. Lineage: Eukaryota; Viridiplantae; Streptophyta; Magnoliopsida; Lamiales; Oleaceae.